RNAcentral lists this unclassified non-coding RNA (676 nucleotides) under Hevea brasiliensis (rubber tree). Lineage: Eukaryota; Viridiplantae; Streptophyta; Magnoliopsida; Malpighiales; Euphorbiaceae. The record is from RNAcentral.
AAAUCGAUUUUCUUAGCUACAUUUGUAAACAAUGAGAAUAAGCAGUGCACAAUGAUUUCAUAAGCAAAGCAUAACUCAAUGAUGCUGUGAUUGAAAACAAAUAAACUAGCAAGAGACACACCAACCAGAAUUUGGCAUUAACAUCCUAGAAUCCGUCAGUAUGGAUUACAUAAACUGAUAAACAACACAGAUAAGAUAGGAAGAGACAGAACUCAAGUUUGGAGAAAAGUAAACGCACCCCAUAAAAUCCGCAAAAUCUAUCAUAUCCUCAUUGAUAUAUAUAUCAUCUCUUGGUUAAAGAAGGAAAAAAAAUUAACUCCAAUCUUGAAUACCAUAUCUAUCAACUUCAUUGUUCUGAUCUUUACAACCUGAUUCCCCAUGUACAUUUGUAUCUGCAAAAUUCACAGUAUCAGAAUCAGUUUAGUUACCACUAUACAUCAACUUUUCCUGCCUUGUGCGGCCUACCAGUCCAACUAUGGCUCUCCGAUUUGUCAUCAUCUUCCGCUUCCAUGCUAUCGCCUCCAGUGCUAGAGAUACCUUUGGCAGACCCACAUCCAUGGAAGGGUCCUUGCGGAGAAUUAGACUCUGAAAUGCUAGGUUUUGAUGGAUCUUUGCACUGAUCUUGAGCCAUCCAUAAGCCAUUUGCUUGGGCAGCUGAAGAAGCAGGAAGUUUACG